RNAcentral lists this long non-coding RNA (624 nucleotides) under Homo sapiens (human). Its description in RNAcentral is "HSALNT0375987". The record is from RNAcentral. Lineage: Eukaryota; Metazoa; Chordata; Mammalia; Primates; Hominidae.
AGGGAAAGAGUUGUAGAACUGCAGCUUUUGGCUGUUCUCCAGGACUGGUGGGCAACUGUGGCAAGGAAAUUGAAAAGUAAAGUAGGAAACAUAAUGUCCUGAUAAAAAAACAACAGGGCUUCUUGUGCUGAGUGAAAAAUAGAACUUAUGCACUUCUUGGAUAAUUCUCUUGGAUGGCCUUCUAUUAAUUUUCUGGUCAGCUUCCCCCAAUAUUUUUCUACUUUGGAUAGGAGGACUACCUCUCAGCAUUUCCUGUAAUGGCAUUGCACACCUGUAUACCCAGUCUUUGGCAAUACACAUUACAGAUACUGGCCAAAAAAGAAUUAGAAAAUCAGUGUCAAAGUUGGAUUGUGGUCCCUGAAGACUUAGAUUAAUGGAAUUCUGCUGGAAACAUAAAGGUUGUUUCCCUGCUGUUCACAUCUGUUGCAUCCUGGGAAAAAAACAAAAAGGAAGAUGUUAUGUGAAGAGCUGAUGUUUGCAUCGCCGACUCUCCCUGAUUUGUGCUGAUGAUAGCUGAAGCUGCAGUCUUGGCAUCUUCUACUGCACAUUGUCAUCAGCAAGGUAAGAAGUGCCUUUUGCCUCCUGCCAUGAUUCUGAGGCCUCCCUCCCCAGCCAUGUGGAACC